CUUCUGUGGGUCGUUCUGCUGC
RNAcentral lists this non-coding RNA (22 nucleotides) under Arabidopsis thaliana (thale cress). Lineage: Eukaryota; Viridiplantae; Streptophyta; Magnoliopsida; Brassicales; Brassicaceae. The record is from RNAcentral.